UGGGGAAUAUUGCACAAUGGGCGCAAGCCUGAUGCAGCGACGCCGCGUGGGGGAUGACGGCCUUCGGGUUGUAAACUCCUUUCGCUAGGGACGAAGCUUUUUGUGACGGUACCUAGAUAAGAAGCACCGGCUAACUACGUGCCAGCAGCCGCGGUAAUACGUAGGGUGCGAGCGUUGUCCGGAAUUACUGGGCGUAAAGGGCUCGUAGGUGGUUUGUCGCGUCGUCUGUGAAAUUCCGGGGCUUAACUCCGGGCGUGCAGGCGAUACGGGCAUAACUUGAGUACUGUAGGGGUAACUGGAAUUCCGGGUGUAGCGGUGAAAUGCGCAGAUAUCAGGAGGAACACCGAUGGCGAAGGCAGGUUACUGGGCAGUUACUGGCGCUGAGGAGCGAAAGCAUGGGUAGCGAACAGG
Molecule: ribosomal RNA, 411 nt
Filed under: Actinomycetes bacterium
Lineage: Bacteria; Bacillati; Actinomycetota; Actinomycetes
Description: Actinobacteria bacterium partial 16S ribosomal RNA
Rfam family: Bacterial small subunit ribosomal RNA
Source: RNAcentral